GAAAUGCGAUAAGUAAUGUGAAUUGCAGAAUUCAGCGAAUCAUCGAAUCUUUGAACGCACCUUGCGCUCCUUGGUAUUCCUUGGAGCAUGCCUGUUUGAGUAUCAUGAAAUCUUCAAAGUAAAUCUUUUGUUAACUCAAUUGGUUUCUACUUUGGUAUUGGAGGUCUUUGCAGCUUCACACCUGCUCCUCUUUGUUCAUUAGCUGGAUCUCAGUGUUAUGCUUGGUUCCACUCGGCGUGAUAAGUUAUCUAUCGCUGAGGACACUGUAAAAGGUGGCCAAGGUAAAUUCAGAUGAACCGCUUCUAAUAGUCCAUUGACUUGGACAAUACUUUUAUGAUCUGAUCUCAAAUCAGGUAGGACUACCCGCUGAACUUAAGC
Molecule: unclassified non-coding RNA, 378 nt
Filed under: plant metagenome
Description: partial contains 5.8S ribosomal RNA, internal transcribed spacer 2, and large subunit ribosomal RNA
Rfam family: 5.8S ribosomal RNA (bases 1-105)
Source: RNAcentral